Molecule: non-coding RNA, 3707 nt
Organism: Caretta caretta (loggerhead turtle)
Lineage: Eukaryota; Metazoa; Chordata; Testudines; Cheloniidae
Source: RefSeq, a predicted model, not a curated record
CCCAUGCUGUGCUGCCCAGUGCAGUAGUCUGGGAGCUGACUUUGUUUGUGAAGACAGAGGCAAAAAAAGCAUUGAGUACAUUAGCUUUUUCCACAUCCUCUGUCACUAGGUUGCCUCCCUCGUUCAGUAAGGGGCCCACAUUUUCCUUGACUUUCUUCUUGUUGCCAACUUACCUGAAGAAACCCUUCUUGUUACUCUUAACAUCUCUUGCUAGGGGCCCACAUUUUCCUUGACUUUCUUCUUGUUGCCAACUUACCUGAAGAAACCCUUCUUGUUACUCUUAACAUCUCUUGCUAGCUGCAACUCCAGGUGUUAUUUGGCCUUCCUGAUUUCACUGCUGCAUCCCCGAGCAAUAUUUUUAUACUCUUCCCUGGUCAUGUGUCCAAACUUCCACUUCUUGUAAGCUUCUUUUUUGUGUUUAAGAUCAGCAAGGAUUUCACUGUUAAGCCAAGCUGGUUACCUGCCAUAUUUACUAUUCUUUCUACACAUCGAGAUGGUUUGUUCCUGCAACCUCAAUAAGGAUUCUUUAAAAUUCAGCCAGCUCUCCUGGACUCCUUUCCCCCUCAUGUUAUUCUCCCAGGGGAUCCUCCCCAUCAGUUCCCUGAGGGAGUCAAAGUCUGCUUUUCUGAAGUCCAGGGUCCGUAUUCUGCUGCUCUCCUUUCUUCCUUGUGUCAGGAUCCUGAACUCGACCAUCUCAUGGUCACUGCCUCCCAGGUUCCCAUCCACUUUUGCUUCCCCUACUAAUUCUUCCCGGUUUGUGAGCAGCAGGCCAAGAAGAGCUUUGCCCUAGUUGGUUCCUCCAGCAUUUGCACCAGGAAAUUGUCCCCUACACUUUCCAAAAACUUCCUGGAUUGUUUGUGCACCGUUGUAUUGCUCUCCCAGCAGAUAUCAGGGUGAUUGAAGUCUCCCAUGAGACUUCUCCCAUAGUAACUUCCAUUACUAGAACAUCCUGUUGAAUGCCUCCCUGCAUCUUUAGGUACCGAAACACCUUUGAAAAUCUAGCCUCUUGUGCCUCAGUUCUCAAUCUAUACAAUGGGGAUAGGAGCACCCAUCUUACAUAGUGCAUUAAAUAUUGCGAGGUCUUUGAAUACUAGGUAAAGGGAGGCCUGAUAAGUACCCUUAGAAUACAUUAUUGUGCCAUGAAUGUAGAGACCUUUGUCAUGCUUGAAAUUGUGUUGACAGCUAGUCACUGAUUGGCAUUUUCUGAGCAGAAAAUAUUUUGUUAAGGGUGGGACCCGGGGUGCUUGGGGCAGCCCUCACUGAAAAUGCCAAGAUCAGUUCAGGCUGCAAAACGAGAGCAGAUAACCACCAGUUCUGGGAGAAACACUCAAGUUAGACUCCCCAACCAGUCACAAACUGUGCUUCUGAUCCCCCACAUUGGUUCUCGAGAAACUAAAAAAGAAAUCACAUAGUCCCAUUUAUUGCAUUCCAGUUCUCUGGCUUCCAAUCAGCACCUAGGUCCAGUACAGUGAGAAGUUAUUUAAAAACUCUCCUCACAUAUACAAAAUGUUCUUCUCACCCCAAAGGGUCAGCCACAUUGCCAGGUCAGUACUAGUUUGGAUCUUACCCAAAAUACCAUGCUGCAAGCCAAUCCUUUAGUGUCUAAAACUAAAGGUUUAUUAUAAGGAAAAAGAAAGAACAAGAAGAGAGUUGUUAAAUGAUAAAGCAAUCAGAUACAUACAGAGAUUUCAAAGUCCAUAUAUCAGGGUCUUAGCAGUAAUGGUGAGUUUGCUGGCUUGAAAGUCCCUCUGGAACACAUCCACAGCUUGGAUGGAUCAUUCAGUCCUUUGUUCAGUUUGUAGAAAAGUUACUCCAGAGGUAAGAAGCAGGAAUGAAGACAAAAUGGAGAUGAUGCAGCUUCCUUUUAUAUUCUUUUGCCACGUGGCUUGUACUUCCUGUGUCCCAGACACAAACUUCACAGCACAUGGCAUGGAAAAGCCAUGGAGUUCUCUUCCAUAGGCAUGCCCCUACAUGUCUUGCUGACUCAUACAGUGUAACCCUUGGAUUCUUUCAGUGGGUUCAUUGUACAGUUGAUGACCCUUGAUGGCCAUCAAACAGGCUAGGCAGUGCUGAUGGCAGUCAGUCUGGGGGUGUCACCCAGAAACACAGCACAAGUUGGAAAUACAGCUAUACCCUACACAUCUAUAACUCACACUACAAAGGUGAUACAAACAUAUAAAGAAGAUGAUCAUACUUGGCAAAUUCUAACAUUUUCACAGAUACCUCACACGGCAUAUCCGGUCAGAUUCCUUGCAAUUUUAUAAUAUUGGCAUCAACACUAUCAUAUAAAGUGCCCCCCAUAUUCCAUACAGCAUCACAAAUGGAAAAUCUCGUUUCAUCAAAACCAGAAAAAUAGCGUUCCUCUGGGAAACUGGACAUUUCCCACUGGGAAAUCCCCAACCGGGGGAAAGCUAGUGGGAAUCUACUUUCCAACUUGAUUUCCAGCUGGAAAAAGUUGGGAAACAGUCAGAAAAUGUGAGAAAAUAGGAUUCUCUUACUCUCCCCUUCUUUUUCUAAUAGUCCCAUGGGAAAGUGGAAUUUUCCACUGGGAAAACUUCCCAAAGGACAUAUGCCCCUGAAAAUUCCUCUGAGAACUCAAUACAGGGGUAGCUGUGUGAAUUCUAUGGCCUAUAUAAAGCAGGAGAUCAGACUAGAUGAUCAAAUGGUCCCUUCUAGCCUUAAAAUCUAGGAAACAAAUUCCCAUUUUCCAAACAGGUCUCGUAACUUCACCGCUAGCUAGGCCUGGCUAAUGGAUGUGGCCCUUUAGCCCAAGCGGGAGGUGCUUAUGCUUUUGGAUAGAGGUCAGGGGGUUCAGUCCUCACAGAUGCUCAAAUUCCCUACAGAGCUUUAAAAAUUCCAAUCUCUGUGUCCGCAUGUACCAUUGCUGCUCAGAAACCGAACUUGAGACUUCUGGAGCUAAAAGCAAGAAUUGGUAUGGCCUGAUCUAAAGGAGAAAAGGGGGCUGCAUUUGAUAGUAAAGUUUUAUUUAUAAAAGUUUUAAUAAACGAUGAAUAGCUGUUAGAAGCAUGUUACAGACAUGAUUAGUAUGUGCUAUAGGUGCAUCGAUUGAAGGUUAUAAGCAUGUCCGUAGGAGUCAAUAUCAAUGGUUAUAAGCAAUCUGUUGACCUGUCUAAAUGGGGGGGGUCGCAUACUUCUUUGCUUCUGUAGGCUGAGUUUAUUGCACAUACCAGAGACCUCUUGCCUCCCUCCAGUUCACUCUCCUUUCCCCUCUAUUUCAGCGACUCCCUGUAACUUUCCUCCCUUCCCCGGUUAGUCUUUGUUCUGUCCUGGAGAUGAGUCAUUUGGGGUAGCAACAUGUUAAACUCCACUGGGAGAAGGAGCAGGGAUGUUGUUAUGCUGGAAGGUGUCGGGGGUGCCAUCAACCUGUUGUUUGGUCUAUAGACAUUUGCAGAGGUGGUUGAAGCUGUGGCUAGGUGAAUCAGAUGGAAGGGGCUCCCCGUGUCCCCUAUUUUUCCCUUGUUUUCUGAUUUUGUUCCCCCAAAAUCAAUAGGAUUGUGACCACUGACAUCUAGAACAUUCCCAUGUAUGUUGGAAUUGAUCAGCUGCGGUGUUCAGACGUUACCACAUUAUGAAAGAUAAACGGAGAAAUGUAGUUGAGUGUCAGGCUUUUGAACACCCAGCCAACGAUUGAGUGACCAUUUCUUGAAAUGCUCUGUUAAUCCUGUAUUAAUCUGUAAUAAAUGACA